CCGGUCCUUAGAAGACAGACGCAGGAUGACGCUGUUGGCGUUGCGUGUUCUUAACGUUGCCUGAAAAUGUGUCCGCUGCGGAUGGAGAGAAUGAGGGAGCAGGUACCGGAUGUGGCCUCCAGGAUGGAAGAAGUUCGUGGACAUCUGCAAAAGGAUGAGUAUAUAAUGCGGAUUACGCUAUUCACUAUGAUACAGAAAUGAUCGCCCAGCAGAGCACCAGGCGGUGGCAGAGCGCUCAGAUGUGAUGUAUGAAGAGUCCUUUCUGGCGGAGCUUUGGCCACAAACAUUCGAAUGGAUUCCUUGAUGAUCGCACUGCAACUCCCCAUUUUCCAAUAAUCUACACUAUACUCUGCGCAUUCACAAAGAUGUCCCGGUUCAGGAAUCAUUACCAACCUCUGUCCUACAUGAUACCGGCCGGGACUAUCCUGCUAACCCACCUGGUUAUACCGCAUCCCUCUGCUCAGAGACCCCCAAAGUACCGAAGCUGAUCCAGUUUACCGGAUCCAUGCGCAGCUCCCACGUCCACUACAGAGCAGCCGUCUGCAGUAAGAGAUUGCAACCAGAGUGCCGCAGCCGCUAGGCAUUAAUCCCGGUUUAUAGUCUGUGACUUCAGUAAAGUCAGCCCUGAU
Molecule: long non-coding RNA, 629 nt
Organism: Spea bombifrons (plains spadefoot toad)
Lineage: Eukaryota; Metazoa; Chordata; Amphibia; Anura; Pelobatidae
Exons: 3
Source: RefSeq, a predicted model, not a curated record